GACGUAGGGCGCGAGCGUUGUCCGGAUUUAUUGGGCGUAAAGAGCUCGUAGGCGGCUUGUCGCGUCGACUGUGAAAACCCGCAGCUCAACUGUGGGCUUGCAGCCGAUACGGGCAGACUAGAGUGCGGUAGGGGAGACUGGAAUUCCUGGUGUAGCGGUGAAAUGCGCAGAUAUCAGGGGGAACACCGGUGGCGAAGGCGGGUCUCUGGGCCGUAACUGACGCUGAGGAGCGAAAGCGUGGGGAGCGAACAGG
Molecule: ribosomal RNA, 253 nt
Filed under: uncultured bacterium
Lineage: Bacteria
Description: partial 16S ribosomal RNA
Rfam family: Bacterial small subunit ribosomal RNA
Source: RNAcentral